This 562-nucleotide ribosomal RNA is filed under the name uncultured Acidobacteriota bacterium. RNAcentral describes it as "bacterial SSU rRNA". It matches the Rfam family "Bacterial small subunit ribosomal RNA", at positions 335 to 915 of the family's 1533-position model. The record is from RNAcentral. Lineage: Bacteria; Pseudomonadati; Acidobacteriota.
ACUCCUACGGGAGGCAGCAGUCGGGAAUUUUGGGCAAUGGGCGAAAGCCUGACGCAGCCAUGCCGCGUGAAUGAUGAAGGUCUUAGGAUUGUAAAAUUCUUUCACCGGGGAAGAUAAUGACGGUACCCGGAGAAGAAGCCCCGGCUAACUUCGUGCCAGCAGCCGCGGUAAUACAGAGGGUGCGAGCGUUGUCCGGAAUCACUGGGCGUAAAGGGCGCGUAGGUGGCCUGGUAAGUCGGGUGUGAAAGCCCCGGGCUCAACCUGGGAAUUGCAUUCGAGACUGAAUAGCUAGGGUGCGGAAGAGGGAAGCGGAAUUUCCGGUGUAGCGGUGAAAUGCGUAGAUAUCAGGAGGAACACCGGUGGUGUAGACGGCUUUCUGGACCGUAACUGACGCUGAGACACGAAAGCGUGGGUAGCAAACAGGAUUAGAUACCCUGGUAGUCCACGCCCUAAACGAUGCAUACUUGGUGUGAGCGAUUCAUUUCGUUCGUGCCGGAGCUAACGCGUUAAGUAUGCCGCCUGGGGAGUACGGUCGCAAGGCUGAAACUUAAAGGAAUUGACG